RNAcentral lists this long non-coding RNA (1525 nucleotides) under Prunus persica (peach). RNAcentral's name for it is "long non-coding RNA (PPER_LNC004468)". The record is from RNAcentral. Lineage: Eukaryota; Viridiplantae; Streptophyta; Magnoliopsida; Rosales; Rosaceae.
GGAGAAAAGAAAGAAAGGGGAGAAGAGAAAAAGAAGAGAGAAGAAGAAGAGAAAAGAAGAAAGAAAAGAAGAGAAAAGAAGAAAGAAAAGAGAGAAGAAGAAAGAGAGAGAAAAUUCAGUGAGCCUCACAUAUUGUAAACUCUAAAGUUGUAGCCCUAUUAUUUUAUAUAGUGAAAAAGUUACUGCUGCUGCUCUCCGAGGACGUAUGCAUAGCCGAACCUCGUUAAAUGCUGUGUCUCAUCUACUUACGUGCAGCUCAAUAUUCAUACAUAUUCCAGGUUAUUUUUAUAACACGUUAUCAGCACGAGAAGCUCUCAGGUAUAAUUUUUGUGCUGCACUAUUAUCUAUACUACUAACCACUAACAAAAAUGGACCCUUGGUAAUACUAAACAUAUUAUCAGUGGGAGACCGUUACUAAUACUAACUUUUUCUUAUUUUAUUCGGUGGUGAUUUUAACCCCACAUUUAUUUACUGUAUGGUGUAGGUUUAUUACCCAUACAUGCACCUUUACUUUAUCACAAAUUUAUUUUACCGCAUAUUUAUUUUAUUUACUGUAUGGUGUAGGUUUAUUACCCAUACAACAGUAUUUAUUUAAAAGGGUGGUGCGGGUUUAUCGUCCACGCCUUUGCUUUUAUUUAAAUGUAUGGAGCAGAAUUAAUGCCCAUACAAGCACCUUAACUUUAUGAAUUUAAUUUACCGCACAUUUACAUUUAUUUAAAGUGUGGUGCGGGUUUAUCGUCCAUACCAGUAAUUUAUUUAUCAGCAAUUUAUUUUAUGGAUUAAUUGUGCUGUAUGAUGAGUUUUUCCAGUAUGCAGAUCAGGACCAGAAGUUCCUUGAUCCUCAUCAUACAAUUACAUCAGGACUUGAAGAUCCUUGAUGAUGAUAUUAAAAUGAGAGCUGGCAGUCUCACCGGUACUGUAUUUGUAAACAUGUGAUUGGACUUAAAGGUCCUUGAUCCCUGACAUGUAAAUAAGGACCUAGAGUUCCUUAAUGAUGUAACAGUACCGUAUUGGUUCAUAGUGCCGUACAUAUUGAUGAUAACUGUACUGGCAGAUGAAUAGAUACGUAUUCAUGACUUGAUGAAUAGUACUAUUCACAUGAAUAGUGACGUAUGCAUAAAUAUUAACCAUUUUGGGUAAACCGUCACUAUAUACAAAAGGGAACCUGCAGUUCCUUAAACUCAUGGAUGAGCAAUUAAAUGAGAUGCCAGAAGUUCCUCAAAAUAUGGACAAUUAUGUAAGGGCUUGAAGUCCCGAAAUAUGUACAGAAAAUUGUAAAAAUGUCCAUACCAUGAGAAUAUGUGGCUUUGGCCUGAAGUUCCAAAUUUAACAGUGUUGAGAACCUGAAGUUCCAACAAUUAAAUGGACAACCCUUGAGGUAUUAUUGCAAAUUGUGGUAUGCCACAUAUUUCUUUGGCAUAAGAAGAUGAUGAAUUUAAUAAAGUUCGAUUUUGUUAUAAUCGACACCUCAAGGAAGAAAUAUAUUUUGUGAAUUCCGGUUGUUAAGAAUACACCGCGAAAUGGA